Molecule: transfer RNA, 76 nt
Filed under: Pseudaquabacterium terrae
Lineage: Bacteria; Pseudomonadati; Pseudomonadota; Betaproteobacteria; Burkholderiales; Sphaerotilaceae
Description: tRNA-Asn
Rfam family: tRNA
About the family: Transfer RNA (tRNA) molecules are approximately 80 nucleotides in length.
Source: RNAcentral
UCCCCGAUAGCUCAGUGGGUAGAGCGUCCGGCUGUUAACCGGAAGCGCGGCGGUUCGAGGCCGUCUCGGGGAGCCA